UGAUGUUUUGCUUUUGAGCAUGCUUCUGAUCUUCAAUUUUCGUAGUCAUCUUAUGCCAAUAUAAGGUGAUAGAGCCUUUUUUCUUUUCUUUUUUCUUUCUUUGUCACGGCAAAAUACCCCUUGAAUUGCAAUGUUACAUAUUUCUCAGUUCAAUGUUAUUUUUAUAAUAGAUUAAUACUUAAUUAAUAAUUAAUUUGUAGUUCAAGUAGUUAAAAGGGUUUAUCUAUGAAUACGUGGUCCUGCCUUAAAUUCCUCUUCUCCCUAAUAUUGUUUUUAUAAAUAAAUAAAAAUGUGUAAAAUGGUGAUAGGAAGGGAUUUGUAUCGUUACAACCAUUACCCAUGUAUUUGAGAAGAGUAUUUACUCAUACACCUGAGGUCUUAGAUUCGAUUUCCCUCUUUAAUAUCGCUUGUAUCAAAUGAAAAUGUGAUAUAUGGUGGUUGGUUCAUAUAGAACAAUUGUUAGGUUUAUUGUCUUUGGUCGGUUGUACUACCUGAUUUAGGUUUGGGACUUCAUGUUUUAUGUGUUGUGGCCAUCUUGCUUUCUGUAAUGAAUUUUAUAUUCGGACAAAAGAAGAGUUGAGGGAUAAUUAUAAGGUGUGGUGUGGUUGGUAAAUUGAUAUUUUUAGUUGGCGAGUUAUCUGGUGCUUCAAUAGUAGGGGUUCGAAACCCGUUGAAAACACUUUGUGGUCAAGGUCAAGCCGAACCUCAAGCCGAACCUCAAGCGGGGAUUAAUCCCACCCUUCAGGUGUGGGGACAUCUUGUGGUGUUUACCAAAAAAAAAAAAAGAAGUUGAGGAUGGUUGGACCACUAAAUUUAAGUACUCGUAAGACCAUCUCGAACUAUGUUGAAGCUAAACUCAAAAUUCUACCCUUCAAAAUACAGCUAUUCAUAUAUUGUCUGGACUCAAAUUGUUUUUUCCUCCAACUAUGUAGACUUAUAAUUUGAGUCCACAACUUUAUUAAAUUGUUUAAAAAUAAUUAACCUUCAAUUUUGUUUUGGCGUUAAUUUUUCUUGACAUUAUUUUUGUUUCAACAUUC
RNAcentral lists this long non-coding RNA (1037 nucleotides) under Prunus persica (peach). Its description in RNAcentral is "long non-coding RNA (PPER_LNC003758)". Lineage: Eukaryota; Viridiplantae; Streptophyta; Magnoliopsida; Rosales; Rosaceae. The record is from RNAcentral.